Molecule: long non-coding RNA, 2493 nt
Filed under: Homo sapiens (human)
Lineage: Eukaryota; Metazoa; Chordata; Mammalia; Primates; Hominidae
Description: HSALNT0138198
Source: RNAcentral
GGCGGCCCGGCGGGGCCUCCAGCGUUCGCCUGCAGGGCGGCGUGGGGCGUGGCGGGCCUCUGGUGGCACCGCGCCCAGCACUUCGGGCUCUUGGUGGCGGCCGAGCUGCGGGACCAGAGAUCCCCCCACUCGGCACCCCUGCUCCUGCCGAGUGAACAGGACUCCUGGCUACUCUGCACUGGCUUUCUAACUUUCUGAUGGGGGUGCAGUCCUUUGCAUUCCAGGGGUCACAGCAACACCCGCAUCGCCCGUUCUCAGCCGCAGGGUCUCCGCCUGCAUCACUCGACUCUAAAAUUUCCUUCCCUAGUGCACGGAACUGCUGUCCAGGACUCUGCUCUCCGACUACCUCAGGGAGGAUUCUGUUUUGGGAAAAGUGUUGAUCCAUUUCUAAUUCAUCUUUGUUUCUUCAUAAUGGAGUGUUGUGCCAGAGAUGGCAUCUCACCAUGUUGAACUCGUGGCCUCAAGCGAUCCUCCUGCCUCAGCCUCCCAGUGCUGAGAUUACAGGCAUAAGCCACCAUGCCCAGUCUCUCUUUUCCCUUCUAUGGCCACAGCUGAAGAUGGCAGAACCACAAGUUAGGAGUCUUAGUUUCUGAAUUGGAACUCUUGGAGAAGAACCAUCUAGAAUAACUAUUUUGUACUUUACAUGAACGAAGCAGACUCUUCGGUUAUGUUUAGCUGUCAGCUUUAUCGUAAAACAUACUUGGGAUUCAUUGAUGAACAAGACAAGCUGGCACCUGUAGUCCCAGCACUUUGGGAGGCCAAGGCAGGAGAAUGGCUUGAGGCCGGGAUUUGCAGAUGAAACUGGGCAACGUAGCAAGACACUGUCUUUACAAAAAAUAAAGAAAAAUUAGCCAGGCACGGUGGCAUCCACCUGUAGUUGCAGCUGCUCAGGAGACUGAGGAGGAAGGAUCGCUUGAGCUCAGGAGUUCGAGGCUGCAGUGAACUAUGAUAUGAUAGUGCCACAGCAUUCAUAAUCAUCUCAUCUGCUUGCCUUGCUUGUUGAUUGGUUGCAUGUUUCUCUCAUAAGUGCAGGGACCUCAUAUCUCUGUCUAUUCACUUCUGUGUGCCCAUCAUCUAUUAUAUUGCUGGCAUAGAGAAGGCCUUUGCUAUAAACUUAUAGAAACUUGGAUAAAUGAAAGGCACCAGGCUAAGACAAGCAUGAUACCUGCCCUUUUGGACCUUACAGUAUAGAGUAGGGAAAAGAUAUUAAGUCAGUAGUGAAUAUACAAUUACAAAUCUGUUGAGUAUGAUUAAAGAAUAGAGUGCUGUGAGAGAAGGGAGAAGUAAAUUAAAUUGAGACCUGAAAGAAGAGUAGACAUUAGCCAAACUAAGUCAUGAAGAACUUUCCAGGCAAAGUCUCUUGGGGUAGGGGGAAGCUUGGCAAGUUUCAGGAAACAAAACAAGGCAGUGUGGCUGAAAGGAUCAAGGAGAAUGGUGCCAGUCAGGAUGAAGAGGGAGCUAGGAACCAGAUCAUUCAGACUCUCGUAGGCCAUGUUAGGGGGUUGCAAUUUCAUCGUAAUAACAAUGGAAAUUCAUUGAAAGGUUUUAAAAGUGGGGGAUAAAGUGAUCAAAUUGGUGAUUUUAAAAUAAUCCCUCUGUUACAUGGAGAAUGGAUUGGAGGGGGAGAAGUGAGGAUGUGGCAAAACAUUUUAAGAAAUUUAUUACAACAGCGCAGGAUGGCUUGGUCAGGUCCAGGGCCACCAAGCAAGGUUGUGGAGAUCGUGGCACAAGGGAGCAAGUGUGGCUGAAAUCCAGCCCCACUGUCUGCCCAAAAGAAGAGGCUUCUUUCACUAAUUUGCAUAAAGGUUAGCCCAGAAAUGACAGUGGUAGCAUGGAGAUGGAGCAAAGUAGACAGAUUUGGGAUAUACUUUGGUGGCAGAAUAAACCGGACUUAAUUAACUGGAGUGCAGGUUAGAGAGAGAAAGAGGUCACAAAUGAAUACCAGGUUUCUGCUGGGAACCAGUGAACAGUUGGAAAUGCCAUUUGUAGAGAUAGGCUAGAUGGAAGAUUUGAGGGUAAAGAGUGUAGUUGUCAGUUUCAGAAGAAUAAACUCCUCUGAGAUAUGACCUAACCCUCCCAGAAGGAAUGAUUUGCAUCUUCCUUUGGGAGGACAACUCAUCCUCUUCCCUUGCUGGGUUUACCCAAAAGGUGGUGGUGCUUGAGGGUGGAGGGGGGUAGGAGUAGUCUUACGAGAUGGGCACUCCUAUCCACUUGAAACUCAAGAUACUAACUCAGACCUGUAGCAAAAAUAGAGUAAGACUCUAGAAUAAAGCUGAUGCUCUUGGAUAUUUUCAAUCUUUUAUUGACAGGUACACAGGGAGUGGCAAAGGAGAUUUUUACAUGAAAUUAUGAGUACAGACCAGGCACUGUGGCUCAUUCCUGUAAACCCAGCACUUUGGGAGGCUGAGGCGGGUGGAUCACCUGAGGUCAGGAGUUCAGGACCAGCCUGGCCAACAUGGUGAAACCCCGUUUCUACUAAAAAUACAAAAUUAG